RNAcentral lists this ribosomal RNA (482 nucleotides) under Megasphaera micronuciformis. Its description in RNAcentral is "bacterial SSU rRNA". It matches the Rfam family "Bacterial small subunit ribosomal RNA", at positions 28 to 476 of the family's 1533-position model. Lineage: Bacteria; Bacillati; Bacillota; Negativicutes; Veillonellales; Veillonellaceae. The record is from RNAcentral.
GACGAACGCUGGCGGCGUGCUUAACACAUGCAAGUCGAACGAGAGCGUAGAGAAAGCUUGCUUUUUCUACAAUCUAGUGGCAAACGGGUGAGUAACGCGUAAACAACCUGCCCUACGGAUGGGGACAACAGCUGGAAACGGCUGCUAAUACCGAAUACGUUCCGAAAGUCGCAUGACUGUCGGAAGAAAGGAUGGCCUCUAUUUAUAAGCUAUCGCCGGAGGAGGGGUUUGCGUCUGAUUAGCUAGUUGGAGGGGUAACGGCCCACCAAGGCGACGAUCAGUAGCCGGUCUGAGAGGAUGAACGGCCACAUUGGAACUGAGACACGGUCCAGACUCCUACGGGAGGCAGCAGUGGGGAAUCUUCCGCAAUGGGCGAAAGCCUGACGGAGCAACGCCGCGUGAGUGAAGACGGCCUUCGGGUUGUAAAGCUCUGUUAUACGGGACGAAUAAUCUUGUGGUUAAUACCCAUAAGAAGUGACGUA